CCUACGGGUGGCAGCAGUGAGGAAUAUUGGUCAAUGGCCGGAAGGCUGAACCAGCCAUGCCGCGUGAAGGUCAGUGCCCUAUGGGCGUUAAACUUCUUUUGUGCGGGAGCAAUAAUGGUCACGUGUGGCCAGACGAGAGUACCGUACGAAUAAGCAUCGGCUAACUCCGUGCCAGCAGCCGCGGUAAUACGGGGGAUGCAAGCGUUAUCCGGAUUUAUUGGGUUUAAAGGGUGCGUAGGCUGUGAGGUAAGUCAGCGGUGAAAUGCCCCCGCUCAACGGGGUGAAGUGCCAUUGAUACUGCCGUGGUGGAAUGCGGAUGGCGUGGGAGGAAUGUGGGGUGGAGGCGGUAAAUGGA
Molecule: ribosomal RNA, 355 nt
Filed under: uncultured bacterium
Lineage: Bacteria
Description: partial 16S ribosomal RNA
Rfam family: Bacterial small subunit ribosomal RNA
Source: RNAcentral